RNAcentral lists this ribosomal RNA (301 nucleotides) under uncultured bacterium. RNAcentral describes it as "partial 16S ribosomal RNA". It matches the Rfam family "Bacterial small subunit ribosomal RNA", at positions 509 to 808 of the family's 1533-position model. The record is from RNAcentral.
CAGCAGCCGCGGUAAAACGGAGGGUGCAAGCGUUAAUCGGAAUUACUGGGCGUAAAGCGCACGCAGGCGGUUUGUUAAGUCAGAUGUGAAAUCCCCGAGCUUAACUUGGGAACUGCAUUUGAAACUGGCAAGCUAGAGUCUCGUAGAGGGGGUAGAAUUGCAGGUGUAGCGGUGAAAUGCGUAGAGAUCUGGAGGAAUACCGGUGGCGAAGGCGGCCCCCUGGACAAAGACUGACGCUCAGGUGCGAAAGCGUGGGGAGCAAACAGGAUUAGAUACCCCGGUAGUCCCUGUCUCUUAUACA